GACCGUGUGGCCCAAUGGAUAAGGCGCCUGCCUACGGAGCAGGAGACUCUGGGUUCGAACCCCAGCAUGGUCG
Molecule: transfer RNA, 73 nt
Filed under: Physcomitrium patens
Lineage: Eukaryota; Viridiplantae; Streptophyta; Bryopsida; Funariales; Funariaceae
Description: tRNA-Arg (ACG) (tRNA-Arg-ACG-2-1)
Rfam family: tRNA
About the family: Transfer RNA (tRNA) molecules are approximately 80 nucleotides in length. Their secondary structure includes four short double-helical elements and three loops (D, anti-codon, and T loops).
Source: Rfam by way of RNAcentral